AUACGGAGGGUGCAAGCGUUAUUCGGAAUCACUGGGCGUAAAGGACGCGUAGGCGGGUUGGCAAGUCAGAUGUGAAAUCCUACAGCUUAACUGUAGAACUGCAUUUGAAACUGCUAACCUAGAGUAUGGGAGGGGGAGAUGGAAUUAGUGGUGUAGGGGUAAAAUCCGUAGAUAUCACUAGGAAUACCGAAAGCGAAGGCGAUCUCCUGGAACAUAACUGACGCUAAGGCGUGAAAGCGUGGGGAGCAAACAGCAGUAGAAACCCUAGUAGUCC
Molecule: ribosomal RNA, 274 nt
Filed under: uncultured bacterium
Lineage: Bacteria
Description: partial 16S ribosomal RNA
Rfam family: Bacterial small subunit ribosomal RNA
Source: RNAcentral